CUCCUUUACCGUUAUCAGCCUCCAUCAAAAUGUGCCCAGGGAGAGGAUCAUGUGGAGGCUUAUGCUCUGGGGGUGGUCUCUCACCAUGUUCCUUUGGAGGUUGCUGUGGCUCUUCAUGUUCAUGGGGUGGUUUAUGUUCCGGCAGUGGCUUCUCUCCUUUGCCUUUAGGAGGCUCUUGGGGUGGUUUGCGUUCUGGGAAUGGUUUUCCUCCUCUACCCUCAUCAUCCUCCAUCAAAAUGUGUCCAGGGCGAGGAUCAUGAGGAGGCUUAUACUCUUUGGGGGGUUUCUCACCAUGUUCCUUUGGAGGUUGCUGUGGCUCUUCAUGUUCAUGGGGUGGUUUAUGUUCCGGCAGUGGCUUCUCUCCUUUACCCUUAGGAGGCUCCUGGGGUGGUUUAUGCUCUGGAAAUGGCUUUCCUCCUUUACCUUCAUCAUCCUCCAUCAAAAUGUGUCCAGGGUGAGGAUCAUGAGGAGGCUUAUCCUCUUUGGGUGGUUUCUCACCAUGUUCCUUUGGAGGUUGUUGUGGUCCUUCAUGUUCUGGAGGUGGUUUCUCUCCCUUACCCUUAGGAGGCUCUUGGGGUGGUUCGUGUUCUAGAGGUGGCUUCUCUCCCUUACCUUUAGGAAGCUCUUGGGGUGGUUUCUCACCAUGUUCCUUUGGAGGUUGUUGUGGUCCUUCAUGUUCAUGGGGUGGUUCAUGUUCUGGAGGUGGCUUCUCUCCCUUACCCUUAGGAGGCUCUUGGGGUGGCUUCUCUCCCUGACCUUUAGGAGGCUCUUGCUGCGGUUUAUGCUCUGGGAAUGGUUUCCCUCCUCUACCCUCAUCAUCCUCUAUCAAAAUGUGUCCAGGAUGAGGAUCAUGUGGAGGUUUCU
This 864-nucleotide long non-coding RNA is filed under the name Jatropha curcas. RNAcentral describes it as "long non-coding RNA (JCUR_LNC001011)". The record is from RNAcentral. Lineage: Eukaryota; Viridiplantae; Streptophyta; Magnoliopsida; Malpighiales; Euphorbiaceae.